This 2902-nucleotide ribosomal RNA is filed under the name Escherichia coli. Its description in RNAcentral is "bacterial LSU rRNA". It matches the Rfam family "Bacterial large subunit ribosomal RNA". The record is from RNAcentral. Lineage: Bacteria; Pseudomonadati; Pseudomonadota; Gammaproteobacteria; Enterobacterales; Enterobacteriaceae.
UUAAGCGACUAAGCGUACACGGUGGAUGCCCUGGCAGUCAGAGGCGAUGAAGGACGUGCUAAUCUGCGAUAAGCGUCGGUGAGGUGAUAUGAACCGUUAUAACCGGCGAUUUCCGAAUGGGGAAACCCAGUGUGUUUCGACACACUAUCAUUAACUGAAUCCAUAGGUUAAUGAGGCGAACCGGGGGAACUGAAACAUCUAAGUACCCCGAGGAAAAGAAAUCAACCGAGAUUCCCCCAGUAGCGGCGAGCGAACGGGGAGGAGCCCAGAGCCUGAAUCAGUGUGUGUGUUAGUGGAAGCGUCUGGAAAGGCGCGCGAUACAGGGUGACAGCCCCGUACACAAAAAUGCACAUAUUGUGAGCUCGAUGAGUAGGGCGGGACACGUGGUAUCCUGUCUGAAUAUGGGGGGACCAUCCUCCAAGGCUAAAUACUCCUGACUGACCGAUAGUGAACCAGUACCGUGAGGGAAAGGCGAAAAGAACCCCGGCGAGGGGAGUGAAAAAGAACCUGAAACCGUGUACGUACAAGCAGUGGGAGCCUCUUAAUGGGGUGACUGCGUACCUUUUGUAUAAUGGGUCAGCGACUUAUAUUCUGUAGCAAGGUUAACCGAAUAGGGGAGCCGAAGGGAAACCGAGUCUUAACUGGGCGUUAAGUUGCAGGGUAUAGACCCGAAACCCGGUGAUCUAGCCAUGGGCAGGUUGAAGGUUGGGUAACACUAACUGGAGGACCGAACCGACUAAUGUUGAAAAAUUAGCGGAUGACUUGUGGCUGGGGGUGAAAGGCCAAUCAAACCGGGAGAUAGCUGGUUCUCCCCGAAAGCUAUUUAGGUAGCGCCUCGUGAAUUCAUCUCCGGGGGUAGAGCACUGUUUCGGCAAGGGGGUCAUCCCGACUUACCAACCCGAUGCAAACUGCGAAUACCGGAGAAUGUUAUCACGGGAGACACACGGCGGGUGCUAACGUCCGUCGUGAAGAGGGAAACAACCCAGACCGCCAGCUAAGGUCCCAAAGUCAUGGUUAAGUGGGAAACGAUGUGGGAAGGCCCAGACAGCCAGGAUGUUGGCUUAGAAGCAGCCAUCAUUUAAAGAAAGCGUAAUAGCUCACUGGUCGAGUCGGCCUGCGCGGAAGAUGUAACGGGGCUAAACCAUGCACCGAAGCUGCGGCAGCGACACUAUGUGUUGUUGGGUAGGGGAGCGUUCUGUAAGCCUGUGAAGGUGGCCUGUGAGGGUUGCUGGAGGUAUCAGAAGUGCGAAUGCUGACAUAAGUAACGAUAAAGCGGGUGAAAAGCCCGCUCGCCGGAAGACCAAGGGUUCCUGUCCAACGUUAAUCGGGGCAGGGUGAGUCGACCCCUAAGGCGAGGCCGAAAGGCGUAGUCGAUGGGAAACAGGUUAAUAUUCCUGUACUUGGUGUUACUGCGAAGGGGGGACGGAGAAGGCUAUGUUGGCCGGGCGACGGUUGUCCCGGUUUAAGCGUGUAGGCUGGUUUUCCAGGCAAAUCCGGAAAAUCAAGGCUGAGGCGUGAUGACGAGGCACUACGGUGCUGAAGCGACAAAUGCCCUGCUUCCAGGAAAAGCCUCUAAGCAUCAGGUAACAUUAAAUCGUACCCCAAACCGACACAGGUGGUCAGGUAGAGAAUACCAAGGCGCUUGAGAGAACUCGGGUGAAGGAACUAGGCAAAAUGGUGCCGUAACUUCGGGAGAAGGCACGCUGAUAUGUAGGUGAAGCGACUUGCUCGUGGAGCUGAAAUCAGUCGAAGAUACCAGCUGGCUGCAACUGUUUAUUAAAAACACAGCACUGUGCAAACACGAAAGUGGACGUAUACGGUGUGACGCCUGCCCGGUGCCGGAAGGUUAAUUGAUGGGGUUAGCGGCAACGCGAAGCUCUUGAUCGAAGCCCCGGUAAACGGCGGCCGUAACUAUAACGGUCCUAAGGUAGCGAAAUUCCUUGUCGGGUAAGUUCCGACCUGCACGAAUGGCGUAAUGAUGGCCAGGCUGUCUCCACCCGAGACUCAGUGAAAUUGAACUCGCUGUGAAGAUGCAGUGUACCCGCGGCAAGACGGAAAGACCCCGUGAACCUUUACUAUAGCUUGACACUGAACAUUGAGCCUUGAUGUGUAGGAUAGGUGGGAGGCUUUGAAGUGUGGACGCCAGUCUGCAUGGAGCCGACCUUGAAAUACCACCCUUUAAUGUUUGAUGUUCUAACGUGGGCCCGUAAUCCGGGUUGCGGACAGUGUCUGGUGGGUAGUUUGACUGGGGCGGUCUCCUCCUAAAGAGUAACGGAGGAGCACGAAGGUUGGCUAAUCCUGGUCGGACAUCAGGAGGUUAGUGCAAUGGCAUAAGCCAGCUUGACUGCGAGCGUGACGGCGCGAGCAGGUGCGAAAGCAGGUCAUAGUGAUCCGGUGGUUCUGAAUGGAAGGGCCAUCGCUCAACGGAUAAAAGGUACUCCGGGGAUAACAGGCUGAUACCGCCCAAGAGUUCAUAUCGACGGCGGUGUUUGGCACCUCGAUGUCGGCUCAUCACAUCCUGGGGCUGAAGUAGGUCCCAAAGGUAUGGCUGUUCGCCAUUUAAAGUGGUACGCGAGCUGGGUUUAGAACGUCGUGAGACAGUUCGGUCCCUAUCUGCCGUGGGCGCUGGAGAACUGAGGGGGGCUGCUCCUAGUACGAGAGGACCGGAGUGGACGCAUCACUGGUGUUCGGGUUGUCAUGCCAAUGGCACUGCCCGGUAGCUAAAUGCGGAAGAGAUAAGUGCUGAAAGCAUCUAAGCACGAAACUUGCCCCGAGAUGAGUUCUCCCUGACCCUUUAAGGGUCCUGAAGGAACGUUGAAGACGACGACGUUGAUAGGCCGGGUGUGUAAGCGCAGCGAUGCGUUGAGCUAACCGGUACUAAUGAACCGUGAGGCUUAACCUU